Molecule: long non-coding RNA, 813 nt
Organism: Struthio camelus australis
Lineage: Eukaryota; Metazoa; Chordata; Aves; Struthioniformes; Struthionidae
Source: RefSeq, a predicted model, not a curated record
GUUAGUUUGACAGCCUGGGCCACAAGGUUCUCAUGUGAACCAAAAAACCACUCUGAAAUAAGUAGAAAAGUGAAAAUGAAUGGGCUCUAUUUGUAAUUCAAAUGCAAAGGGACCAAACUACUUCACCUGAUCAAACAUUGAGAACUGUUUCAAAGUCUAUUUUCUUCCUGUUUUGGCAUUACAAUUCUCUUUCCAAAGAUACAAUGCUUCUACUUAACAUUUCCCCAACUUGGAUCUAGCUAAAACACAAAGGACUUGAGGUUUUGUUUGUUUGUUUGUUUGUUUUCCCACAACACAUCAGAAAAUGCAGCGCAAGCUUUAAUGAGUAAGUCUGUUACAACAUGCCUUUUGGAGGACUGUAAGCAUUUAUGGGGGAAUGAGGUAAUUAAUAUAUUACUUAAGCAUGCAAAGACAAGUUAGAAGCAGCUGUCUUUCUUCUCUUGAUAUGGCAACACAAUCAUUGAAACAAUGACUUCUUACAUCUUUUUUUUUUCUCUCUCUGUUCACAGACCACUCAAGUCGCUUGCAGGUUUUAAGUCAAAGCUUUAAGAGAUCGCCAUAUUUUCAGGACCGCUUUCCAGGGAGAAAACAGCGGGAGGGAGAGCAAGAAGGGAGCUGAUGAGGAGCCGUGGCAAAGUCUCCACCAAAAUGUUACCCCAGAGGCAGAAGAUGAGAAACUCCCAUCGCAGCCAGGAGGGCUUCCCAGGGGCCGGCGUGGUGUCCCGGAACAGAAGAGAGAAUUUGUGCUGGGGACAGAUACCUGGAGCCGCUCGCUGUGCCCUGCUGCUCCCGGAGCAGCGCUGCCAUAGCGCC